UGGUCAAAGAGUUCCCUGUGGGAUGAAGAAAUCUCACCAGUUCCAUUAGGGUUUUGCUAAAACAACAGUCUUGAGAGUUGUAGCCACAGGAUGGUCACUCCUUGAGGAGAAAGAGAUGAGAAGAGUUACAAGGGAAAACUAGGAAAAUAGAUCCUAUGGAAGCUGACUUUUCUAUGAAGUAGGACCUGUUGUUUUGCAACAAAUAUUCCUGGAUGCCUACCACGUACCAUGGGCUGUACUGGGAUCUGGGGCCACUGACAUAAACCCACACAUGAGGACUAGCCUCAGACUGUUCAGCGAAGAAGGAGAAGGAACAGGAAAUCAGAGAGUAUAAUUAUACAGCUGAUGGGAGAUAGUGAGUUUGGUCAUGGAUGAGUUGCCUCUGCAACCUCCAGGUCUUGGAAUACAUCACUCUGGGCUCUCCCGGAGCAGCUGACACAUCGCAGUAACGCUUCUCCAAAAGUCAGGGUCUGCUGAUUCCAGCGGGGACAGCAAGGCAAGCCGGGAGCAGCUGAAAUGGUCUCCUCCAACUUCGGAGACUCAGGGCAGGCGGCUGGCUUAGCGGCAGAGGCCCAGCGACUGGGCUGUCAAGUGCAGCGCCCACGAUUCCCAGACCAGAAGGAAAUUAGAGCUCAUAUUCCUGCCCUGCUUGGCUCACAACGUUGUCCUGAGAAUUAAAUGACAAAUGACCUCCAUCAUGGAUUUUUUCCCUCAUUCAUUCAGUCAAUAAUCAUCUGCCCAGGGGUAAAGAAUCUGCCUGCAAUGUGGGAGACCUGGGUUUGAUCCCUCGGUUGGAAAGAUCCCCCGAAGAAGGGAAAGGCUACCCACUCCAGUAUUCUGACCUGGACAAUUCCAUGGACUGUAUAGUCAGUUUAUGGGGUCACAAAGAGUCGGACACAACUAAGCAACUUUCACUUCACUUUACUUGGCCUCCUUUAAUGGUUUAGAUUAAGAUUAUUUAGUUUAAUAGUUUAAGAUUACUUUUUAUUGAGAUACAAUUGACAUAUAUUAGUUUCAGAUGUACAACAUAAUGAUUUAAUAUUUGUAUAUAUUGUGAAAUGAUCACCAUGAUGAAUCUAGUUAAUAUCCAUCAUCUCACAGUUACAAUUUUUUUUCCUGUGAUGAAAACUUUUAAGGUCUACUCUCUUAGCAACUUUUGAAUAUGCAACACAGUGUUAACUAUAGUCACCACUCUGUACAUCACAUCCCAUGAUUUAUGUAUUUUAUAACUGAAAGUUUGUACCUUUUGAUCCCCUUCAUCCAGUUCAGUUUUUUUUUGUUUUGAUCUUUGUUUUUAGAUUCUACAUACGUGCCAGAUCACACAGUAUUUAUCUUUCUUUGUCUGACUUCACUUACCAUAAUGCCCUCACUUUUUUUUAGGUGGCUCAAUAAUAUUCCACUGUAUACAUGUAUACCACAUCUUCUUUAUCCAUUCAUCUACCAGUGGACACUUGGGUUGUUUCUAUGGCUUGGCUAUUAUAAAUAAUGCUGCUAUGAACAUGAC
Molecule: long non-coding RNA, 1504 nt
Organism: Bos taurus (domestic cattle)
Lineage: Eukaryota; Metazoa; Chordata; Mammalia; Artiodactyla; Bovidae
Source: Ensembl